Long non-coding RNA from Lolium perenne, 1346 nucleotides. RefSeq lists it as uncharacterized. NCBI's taxonomy places the organism in Eukaryota, Viridiplantae, Streptophyta, Magnoliopsida, Poales, Poaceae. The record is from RefSeq and is a predicted model, not a curated record.
GCUCUCCCUGUCACCGCGGGACAUUCCAUAAUUUGGCACGUCAUUACUUUUCUUACGUACGUGUCUUUACGGUAUGUGUUCUUUGUUCCCACGAUUUGGUCGGUCUAAUUCCCACGAUCGAUGAGCUCCACACCUCUCCACUACCCGCACGUUUCCCUAUCGCGGGGUCGACGCCCUUCUCUCCCCUAGCCAUCAUGGCGUGUACCAAAGGCAGCCAUCGGGCCCUCUUCUUCUUUGCAAGUGGUGGCAGCAUACUGCUUCUCUCUCACUAGAGACGGGUGGCGGCGUGGUGGGGUUCAGAACCCUCCUCUGCAGCGAACAGCGUGGUGGAGUCAUGCCCUUAUCGCCCUCCUUCGGUGGCUGGUGGCGUGGAGGAGGUCCGCAGCCUCCUCUUCUUUCUAUGGGAGAAGCUGACGCGAUUGGUGACUGUGGUGAGUCCGCUCUCUCUCUCUCUGUGGAUGUGGCGACAACUGCAACGUCUAGGACGAGAUCGACCUGCGCCUCCUUUGGUUCCUACCACGGAUUCUCCGUUUGAUUUUGCUUGUGUGUAGUUGGGGAAUAAGGAGAGCAGAAAGGCUUGACUGAAAUUUUGGGCGUCUCUCCCGCAGAGGCGGAGUAGUCGAGCGCCGGCCUCCUACAGGGUGUGCAGCAGCUGGUCGCCGAAUCCCCUUAUGGUCAUCUCUGCGCCUUCCGUCAGCCCCAUCAUUGCUCCUUGUAGUUUUCCAGAUCUUCCCGCUCCCCCGAAAACAGAAGCAUCGUUCCCUGAUGUUUCGUUGACAAGGGCGAUGAGGGGCACGAGGAAGCUGGCAGGGCCAACCUUGGAUGUCAACGAUUGGUGAGAUGACUGUGGCUCCAACGAGCCCUUUUCCUCUCUUUUAUAAGUCCGUCUUGGAUCCUUCGUGUUGCAGCCGCUGCAUCGGAUUCCUCGAGAUCUUUGGCGCGCAGCCAUUUUGCUGGACUCCUUGCCGGCUGGCCGCCCGUUUCCUGCCUGGCGCAGGUGUAGACUGCUAUGCUUUUUUGUCUUCCUUAUUUUCGUCAUUGUGCAGCAGUGUCCGCCUCCUAGAGGUGUACGUGUGCUGGUUCUUCCGUUUCUUCUUCUGCUUUGUUUUUUUUCCUCUGACUAUUCUGUUCAUGUUCUGGUGUUUGUUGCAGAUUUUUGCGACCAUCAGCCCAUGCCUCACAUGGACCUUCAGUUUGAGAUGUAUAGUACUUAAUUUACUGUCAUAUGUAGCAUCUGAGUAAAUCAUAGGGAAAUCUGGGAUGUCUCCUUGACUAGAUAUGAACCGUGAUGUAUUCUUCAGAACUUCAAUUAUAUAAAGUAUAAAGAUACCAAUUUUUUGUUUAAA